GAUUCUUAGUACGUGCAUGUUUUUGCAUUGAAGUUCUUCGAGCAUGGUAUGAUCAUUUGCGGCAUAGCGUGGAGAAUUUCAACCCAAACCGAAGCGAAGCGUGUUAGUGAGCUGAGUUUUGGGCCUUCUGUCGCACAUGAACAAGAUCAGGAUUGAGAGUUCCACACUUCCUUACAUUACGUGGCACAGAGGCUGAGUUCGAACGAUCUUGCCCCAACAGUCAAGGUGGCGACUUCCUAGAAUGCAGACGGUGAUCACAGAUAAAGUAGUGACUGAGGAUCUAAGGAAAGAGGUCUCGAAAUGAUAUGAUGCUCUCUUCGGCAGAAAUCAAAGGCCUGAGAAGUGAUUUAUUCCACUUGCAUCUAAGCAGUUGGUAUAUCGACAGGAAAAGGGACCAGCUAUUGCUUGAGAUAAGCUCAACUAUUCCCAAAUAUCUAAAUCCUUGUGUUCUGCAGCCACCAGCAGUCUGUAAUAAUUUCCUCGAUGAAUGGCCUACUUGUGUAUCCACUUUGGGUGGCCUUCGAUUGUGGGCAUGCCCCACUACACCUCACCAUUACCAAAACUAUCAAUUACAAGAAGAUUCUACUUUCCAGAGAACUUCCCUCAUCAAGGCUUGGAUUUCAAUGGCUGUCCAUGCGCCAACAUAAUUAUUCUGUACUACGCAGAGGCCACCUAUCAGUGGUACGGGAAUCUAAUAGAGCAUUCUCGGUGAAUUUAUUUAAAAGGAGAAAAGUUGGCUGGGCCAUUCUUCCAUCACCCACAGAAACCACCACCAGUUUGGUCCCUAGAAAACCCCCGCAUGCAGAAAUUAUCUCCUUCCCUUUCUAUGGAAUCUUCAUAAAGUAACUCUGGUGAGUUAAAAUACGAGAUGCCUUCUUUGAACUUUUGGAAGAACAGAAAUGCUGAUCAAACCCUUUUUUGACCAUCUAGACUUGAUAGAUCAUAGAUGCUUGUUUCCCUUGCAUGUGAUUUUAAACAAAUGGAGUCUGCAAUCUUGACUUCCGAGUGAUAUUCUUUGUGGAUGUAACAAGGAAUAUUGAUGACGUUUAUCCGAAUUCCCUUUGCAGUUUUGAAAAGAAAAUAAGGCACAUUACAUACUUUCUCCUGUUCGUUGUCCUAGAAACCUCUCAGCUUGAAUAUUAAUCAAUGAAGACUUCAGUUCAUCAAAAACUAACCAACUGGAGAACGCUUUGAGCCGAGAUUCCUAUGAUUUUGGCCAAAGAUACUGUGUCAUCUUAGAGGGAAGGAUUACAACCUUCGUUCUAUGCAGAACAAUGUUGUCACACAUCCAUUCGAUCUAAUAAGUACCUUGUGUCAGAAUUGAGAAAUUCUGGCUCGAAUCUUUAGUAUUCUCUUAUUUAUUACCUGUGUCUACUCUUUAGACAGAAUACCGUCACCCAUUUUUACUAAGAGACUGAAAAAAACCUCAGAAACGGAAGAAAGGGAGGAAGAAACAGAUGUAGAAAUAGAAAAAACUGCAUCUCAGGCAUGUUUUAUGCGCAGAGUUAAUUGGCAAGAAAUGAUAUGCAGCAGCUUCAUUUGUUCUCA
Long non-coding RNA from Populus euphratica (Euphrates poplar), 1548 nucleotides. RefSeq lists it as uncharacterized. NCBI's taxonomy places the organism in Eukaryota, Viridiplantae, Streptophyta, Magnoliopsida, Malpighiales, Salicaceae. The record is from RefSeq and is a predicted model, not a curated record. The transcript is spliced from 2 exons.